Molecule: ribosomal RNA, 769 nt
Filed under: uncultured bacterium
Lineage: Bacteria
Description: bacterial SSU rRNA
Rfam family: Bacterial small subunit ribosomal RNA
Source: RNAcentral
GAGAUUAUAUCAAUGAAAGUGUUAGUGGCGAACGAGGUAGUAACGCGUAGGUACGAACCCCAGAGCCGUGAAUAACCCAUCGAAAGAUGGAUUAAUACACGAUAGUCUCUUCGGAGUAAAGAAGCAAUUCACUCUGGGAUCGGCCUGCGUAGUAUCAGCUAGUUGGUAGGGUAAUGGCCUACCAAGGCUAUGACGCUUAGGGGACCUGAGAGGGUGACCCUCACCGAUGGUACUGAGACACGGACCAUACACCUACGGGUGGCCGCAGUCGAGAAUCUUCCACAAUGGACGAAAGUCUGAUGGAGCGACGCCGCGUGAUCGAUGAAGUCCUUCGGGAUGUAAAGAUCUUUUAUGAGAUAGAAAGUUUAUUGAUCGUCUCAUGAAUAAGAGGUUGCUAAACUCGUGCCAGCAGCAGCGGUAAUACGAGUGCCUCAAGCGUUAUCCGGAAUUAUUGGGCGUAAAGGGUGUGUAGGCGGUUUCUUUAGUCUCUCGUUAAAACUUGAAGCUCAACUUCAAAUCUGCGAGGGAAACGGAGAGACUCGAGUGCGCGAGAGGUGAAUGGAACUCAUAGUGUAGGGGUGAAAUCCGUUGAUAUUAUGGGGAACACCAAAUGCGAAGGCAAUUCACUGGCGCGUAACUGACGCUGAGACACGAAAGCGUGGGUAGCGAAUGGGAUUAGAUACCCCAGUAGUCCACGCCCUAAACGAUCUUGAUUUGCUAUGGGGAGUAUCGACCCUCUCCGUGGCGUAGCUAACGCGUAAAUCAAGCG